Astatotilapia calliptera (eastern happy) is the source of this 1202-nucleotide long non-coding RNA. The record is from Ensembl. Lineage: Eukaryota; Metazoa; Chordata; Actinopteri; Cichliformes; Cichlidae.
GGAGGAUGCUGGGGUCCACUUUAAAUACUUCAUCUUUAUUUGUUUAUAUAUAAAUGUAUCUGCAAAUAUGCUCAUUCAUACAAUCGUGUUUUUAUUCUGUCACUUUUGUGUCUUUUUUAUGCAAACAAACAGGAUUUAGAGGAAAACUAUAAACAGCACAAUCAAAAAUGUAUCGCAAGUCAAAUAAAUCUGUGAUUAAACUGUGGAUCCAAAUCCGCUCCUGGAUCCUGAAUAUGAACAGAUGCAAACGUUUGCACAGUGACGGUUCUGCUGUAAUAGAAAUCUUUCAGCUGACGUUUCACAGUUCAGCCAACAACACUUGUGAUUUGGAGAAAAAAUGAAAGCUCCAGGCCCCCGCUGACCCCGUCCAUCAACAUGUUUAUUCUGUAACACAGUGCUUGUUUGCACUCAACUACAAACACUUAUGUUGUUUGUUUGCACAAUAAGGACACAAAAUAACUUCAUAUUGUCUUUAAAAACAUCUUUUUAUUACAAAUAUAAACAUCUUUUCUAAAGUAUGGCUUAUUCAGCAGUUCCAUCAAAAAACUUCUUUACGUAUAAUAAAAAUGUCACCACGUAGUGAAAUCUUCCAGGCGUUUGUCUGCAAACUUUCUGAAAUGGUUCAGGAAAGAAGCUCUGUGAUUGGUCCACCUGCUCCCAUGAGGAGCCAUGUUCACUGAGGACGGAGCUGAGGGGCUUGUCUCGACACCUGUCACCAGCUGCAACAUGAAAAACAUCAAAUCAAACAUCAAACUGUGCAAAUUCAAAGAAAACCAAACGCCUUGUAACGUGUGGUGGAGAUGAAGCCAGCCGUGGAGGUGUGCAGGUGGAUCGUCAACGAGCCACGACUUUCCACAAGUACUCGCUUGUUUGAAAUAUUACAAAUAAAACAGCCAGCUCUGCCACACCUUACUCCAGAGCGCACUAGUGCACCUACACACGGAGGAUCCAUAUCAGAGAUGGUUCAACGAAGAAGAAGAAAAAGGGGGCGACCUACCAGCCAUGACACAAGAGGCGCCACCAUGUGGCGAUACACUGUAUUACAACAGCCACAACAGCAACAGCCUGAAUGUUUGCUUCCAUCCAUUCAUGCUGUGACAACAGAAGCUGAUUGGUCAGCAGCUUUCAUCUACUUAGACUGAAAGUUGUGCAUUUCCAUGUUUAAGCACAUAUUAUAUUUUGACAAAUCAACUAUAUUAAAG